This 512-nucleotide ribosomal RNA is filed under the name uncultured bacterium. RNAcentral describes it as "partial 16S ribosomal RNA". It matches the Rfam family "Bacterial small subunit ribosomal RNA", at positions 28 to 523 of the family's 1533-position model. The record is from RNAcentral.
GACGAACGCUGGCGGCGUGCCUAAUACAUGCAAGUCGAGCGGACAGAAGGGAGCUUGCUCCCGGAAGUCAGCGGCGGACGGGAGAGUAACACGUGGGUAACCUGCCUAUAAGACUGGGAUAACUCCGGGAAACCGGGGCUAAUACCGGAUAAUAUCAAGAGCUGCAUGGCUUUUGGGUGAAAGGCGGCUUCGGCUGUCACAUAUAGAUGGACCCGCGGCGCAGUAGCUAGUUGGCGGGGUAACGGCCCACCAAGGCAACGAUGCGUAGCCGACCUGGGAGGGGGGUCGGCCACACUGGGACUGAGACACGGCCCAGACUCCUACGGGAGGCAGCAGUAGGGAAUCUUCCGAAAUGGACGAAAGUCUGACGGAGCAACGCCGCGUGAGUGAAGAAGGUUUUCGGAUCGUAAAGCUCUGUUGUCAGGGAAGAACAAGUACCGGAGUAACUGCCGGUACCUUGACGGUACCUGACCAGAAAGCCACGGCUAACUACGUGCCAGCAGCCGCAGUAA